This 443-nucleotide long non-coding RNA is filed under the name Gallus gallus (chicken). RNAcentral's name for it is "lncRNA (ENSGALG00010022273.1)". Lineage: Eukaryota; Metazoa; Chordata; Aves; Galliformes; Phasianidae. The record is from RNAcentral.
GGAAGGUGCUGGCUUGCAGUGCAGUCUUUGCUUUGCAAGCACUGUGCAGGGAGCAGCAGGAUGAGGAAACAGCCAUACGUACACACUGCGUUUCCCACGACUUGCUCUUCUUCCAAGCAGUGGUUCUGAGCCCUGGAAGUCAUCCUCUGACACGAUCGUUUUGGUGAAAGCUGUUUUGCAUCCUUACAUCCUCAGCUGCAGGACGCCGACCUCAGGGCCCACCCCAUGGAACCGACGUGCUGAGGAAGCCGGAGCCGUCCCUGGGACACAGCCCAGCUGUGGAGCGCACUGCUGCUGGCCGCAGGUACCCGGCAGCGCUGCAGGGAAAGAAUAUUUAGAAACGUUCCGUGAGUCUUUUUUCCUCUGUGGGGGUUUUGUUCUUUUUUCAAGGCCUCAAUCAUAGCAGUCUUUGCUGCAAAACAAAUAUCGAGUCGCAAUCUCUG